GAUGAACGCUGACAGAAUGCUUAACACAUGCAAGUCAACUUGAAUUUGGGUUUUUAACUUAGGUUUGGGUGGCGGACGGGUGAGUAACGCGUAAAGAACUUGCCUCACAGCUAGGGACAACAUUUGGAAACGAAUGCUAAUACCUAAUAUUAUGAUAAUAGGGCAUCCUAUAAUUAUGAAAGCUAUAAGCGCUGUGAGAGAGCUUUGCGUCCCAUUAGCUAGUUGGAGAGGUAACGGCUCACCAAGGCGAUGAUGGGUAGCCGGCCUGGGAGGGUGAUCGGCCACAAGGGGACUGAGACACGGCCCUUACUCCUACGGGAGGCAGCAGUGGGGAAUAUUGGACAAUGGACCGAGAGUCUGAUCCAGCAAUUCUGUGUGCACGAUGAAGUUUUUCGGAAUGUAAAGUGCUUUCAGUUGGGAAGAAACAAAUGACGGUACCAACAGAAGAAGAGACGGCUAAAUACGUG
This 467-nucleotide ribosomal RNA is filed under the name uncultured bacterium. RNAcentral describes it as "partial 16S ribosomal RNA". It matches the Rfam family "Bacterial small subunit ribosomal RNA", at positions 28 to 507 of the family's 1533-position model. The record is from RNAcentral.